Molecule: ribosomal RNA, 466 nt
Filed under: uncultured bacterium
Lineage: Bacteria
Description: partial 16S ribosomal RNA
Rfam family: Bacterial small subunit ribosomal RNA
Source: RNAcentral
GAUGAACGCUGGCGGCGUGCCUAACACACGCAAGUCGAGCGAACCCUUUGAGGUGAGCGGCGGACGGGUGAGUAACGCGUGGGUAACCUGCCCUAUACACACGGAUAACGUACCGAAAGGUACGCUAAUACGGGAUAAAGUUGUUGGAUGGCAUCUUCUAACAAUCAAAGCUCCGGCGGUAUAGGAUGGACCCGCGUCUGAUUAGCUAGUUGGUGAGGUAAUGGCUCACCAAGGCGACGAUCAGUAGCCGACCUGAGAGGGUGAUCGGCCACACUGGAACUGAGACACGGUCCAGACUCCUACGGGAGGCAGCAGUGGGGAAUAUUGCACAAUGGGCGAGAGCCUGAUGCAGCAACGCCGCGUGAGCGAUGAAGGUCUUCGGAUCGUAAAGCUCUGUCCUCAAGGAAGAUAAUGACGGUACUUGAGGAGGAAGCCCCGGCUAACUACGUGCCAGCCGCCGCGGUAA